RNAcentral lists this ribosomal RNA (301 nucleotides) under uncultured bacterium. Its description in RNAcentral is "partial 16S ribosomal RNA". It matches the Rfam family "Bacterial small subunit ribosomal RNA", at positions 509 to 807 of the family's 1533-position model. The record is from RNAcentral.
CAGUAGCCGCGGGAAUACGUAGGUGGCAAGCGUUAUCCGGAAUUAUUGGGCGUAAAGCGCGCGCAGGUGGUUUCUUAAGUCUGAUGUGAAAGCCCACGGCUCAACCGUGGAGGGUCAUUGGAAACUGGGAGACUUGAGUGCAGAAGAGGAAAGUGGAAUUCCAUGUGUAGCGGUGAAAUGCGUAGAGAUAUGGAGGAACACCAGUGGCGAAGGCGACUUUCUGGUCUGUAACUGACACUGAGGCGCGAAAGCGUGGGGAGCAAACAGGAUUAGAUACCCCGGUAGUCCCUGUCUCUUAUAC